AGAGGGUGCAAGCGUUAAUCGGAAUUACUGGGCGUAAAGGGCGCGUAGGUGGUAGAUUAAGUUAGAUGUGAAAGGCAUAGGCUUAACCUGUGUUUUGCAUAUAAUACUGGUUUACUGGAGUUCAGGAGAGGGGAGUGGAAUUCUCGGUGUAGCGGUGAAAUGCGUAGAUAUCGGGAAGAACACCGGUGGCGAAGGCGGCUCCCUGGUCUGACACUGACACUGAGGCGCGAAAGCGUGGGUAGCGAACAGGAUUAGAUACCCUGGUAGUCCACGCUGUAAACGAUGAGGACUAGAUGUUUGACGGCGCACUAGCUGUUGAGUAUCGAAGCAAACGCGUUAAGUUCUCCGCCUGGGAGUACGGUCGCAAGAUUA
This 372-nucleotide ribosomal RNA is filed under the name uncultured organism. RNAcentral's name for it is "partial 16S ribosomal RNA". It matches the Rfam family "Bacterial small subunit ribosomal RNA", at positions 527 to 896 of the family's 1533-position model. The record is from RNAcentral.